AGUACUCAAGAUCAGACCAUGCUACUGCUUUCACUCCCUGCAGAUGGUCAUAUUUUUGAGGCCUUCAUUCAUUUAAUUGUCUUUUUUGUGUUAUCUCUAAAUUCUCCAUGGCUCUGGACAGUAAUUAAACAUAAAGGAGAGAAGUUCUCCCGCCAGCUGUCCUGCGUCACUCCUUCAGUUCUCAGCUUAGAUUUCCUGUCCUUGGGAAGCUGUCAUCAUCCUUCUAUCUUUACACCCCAUGAUUUACCCCUUGCAGUGUACUUAUUACACUGUAUUGGAAUCGCUUCUUUUCUCUUUCUCUGUGAAUUUCUUGAGAGCACAGACUACAUUCUGCUUAACUUUUUAUCCCCAGCUUUCAGCACAGUGCCUGGCUGCUUUGGCGUCUCCAAGUACCUGACCUCAGCUCAACCUGUCUUGGGUUUUCUUCUCCUCCCUGACAUUGACAACCCAGCCCUCCUAGGCACAGAGAGAUGGAGCUGAGUGUGGUUUUCCUGAAAUAAAGCUUGCAUUAUGAGAGGGAAUAAACAGAAGAAAAAAAUAGUAAGUAAAAUCUUGCUUGCCUCUCAGUAAAAUAAAGCUCUAUUUUUCGUUUUUUUUUUUUCCAACUUCCUGUACAAAAAAGGGAAAACUUUAGCUUUUGGGGGAAAUUUGGAGCUAGCCUGUUGGUACUGUUGAGCUUAGUGUAUCUAUAACUAUAUAUUAUUCCACAAUAUCUUAAAUACUUUAUAAAGAUAUUUUCAUAAAUUACAGCAAUCCUGGCUUUAGAUGAUUGAUGGCCAUUUUUAAACAAUUAAAGCUAAUUUCUAGCUUUUUAUGAGUUUGGUAUUAAGCACAGUAGUUUCUUAGAAAGUCUCCAGGGAAUGCAUUUUGCAAAAUAAAAAUCAGCUAAUGACCCAGGAAAGC
Molecule: long non-coding RNA, 903 nt
Organism: Homo sapiens (human)
Lineage: Eukaryota; Metazoa; Chordata; Mammalia; Primates; Hominidae
Source: Ensembl